UCUAUCUCUGUCUUUCUCUGUUUCUCUUUGUCUGUCCGUUUCUGUCAGUAUGUUUUUCUGUCUCUUUCUCUAACUGGAUCUCUUUCUCUGUCUAGGUCUCUGUCUCUUUUCUGUCUCUGUCUGUCUCCCCUUCUCUGUGUGUCUCUCUGUCUCUCCCUCUCUAUUAUGUCUCCCAUUGCUGGAAACCAAGUCCUUCCUAUAGAAAACACCUAAUACAUGUUUGUUGUUUUGAAACUGAAUGCUUUGGAUGAGCAGCUCACCUUUUCAAUGAGUGAGUGUUUGCUCCUUUUUCUCCCCACUCUCCUGUGAUCCUGUAAUCUGGUUUCUAUGCUGUUUAUUCCUUCAGCUCCAGUUAAUUACAGCCAGUCACAAACCAGAGGCCACUUUAUCAUUGAGCACAAACUGGUUGGAGAGAUCAUAAUGAAUAGACUGAAGAAUAACCCAUGCCACCAGAGACGACCACCAGUUUAAGGUUUUGUCAGAGAUUGUCCCUAAUAUUGCAUUGUACAACCACUGUACUUUAUCUUGUGCCUCAAUUUUCCUUUUACAAUAGUAGCUAUUGACUCCAUAUCACCUUUAUUUUUUAAAAUCAGAACUGCUUCCAGACCAAAGUCCAUCUGAAGACAUCUUUCACAUUUUCUAUUUCCAGAUUUUGUUCUAGAGCUCCACCUACUUGAUGAUAGUAACCAAGGUUUGUCAUCUGACCCAUCCCUAACCAAUGGACUUCUACCAUUUCACAAUCAUUGACUUGACUUCCUGUUUAUUAUUUGAGCUUUCAUUUUCAGAUAGAACACCAGAAUAUAGCCACACUCUUAAGAGAUCUCCCCUGGAUGUCAAGAUCAGCACCAGAUCAAGCCUCUGAAUGAUUUUUUGAAGUGACAGAACCCACAAAUAUUUGGAGUAUAACAAAUUUCCAGCAGAAGAUAUUUUUGGAAGAACUACAUAAAAGGUGAAGAAGAGACAAAAACCAAUGGAUCCCCAAGUGAGAAAUGCUAUAAGGAACAUCAUUGGUUUGUGGACAAUAUCAUAUUUCUUUUCUACAUCCAUCUUUUUUACCUACAGAAAACGUCUUCAGAAAGUAGCUUUUCUGUGGCACGUGCAUGGGAUCCUGUCAGUGACUUAUUCAAUGGAAGUGGGUGCUUGUAUUUGUUUUUUGUGGGCAAAGCACAGUUGUCCAGGAUUUAUUCACGAGGAAGAUUGGACGAAUUGGUGUUGGAGCCUCAUUUUGCUCUCCAUCACAUUCUUAACAAUAUUUUUUUUUAAAUUUAUAAUUCAAUAUUAUUUCUCUUUUUUUAUGAUACUGAUGUUUUCAAUUAAUUUCACCAAUAUUGACAGCAUCAUCUUUUUGAUGUCUGUAUUAAGGAUAUAUUUUUUGCGUUUUCUUCCCAAACUUUUAGAGUCAAGCUCUGCUUCUGGUGGAUAGGGGGCCCUAUCCCAAGCUUCCUGUACAGGUUUUGAGCAUAAGGUUUGCAGGGGGAAGUUUUGCCUACUCUUUUCAGGUAAAUAGGCUAGUUUCUCAGAAUUUGCCUUCUGAGCUAGGACUGGAAGCUAUCCCAUUGAUUUGCUCUUCUACUGAGCCAGGACUGAGGGUCUUAAGGUGCUCAUGAGCUGUGAUUAAGACUCUCUCACCAGUGUCCCACAAUCUAUCUGAGCUGGCCAGAACACCUUUUUCACUCCAGUGCAGCUGAUCUUUCUUGAAGUUUUUCCAAUCUCUCUUGAGCUGGAGAGUAGUUUCAUUCUAGUUAUGUAAAUUAUGUAAAACAUUUCCAUAUUAGUCAUUUUGUACAAGAAGUCUAAAUUAAAAGAAAAAAAAGCAAUAAAGUGACAACUAGCAUGCUUCACACUA
Long non-coding RNA from Antechinus flavipes (yellow-footed antechinus), 1846 nucleotides. RefSeq lists it as uncharacterized. NCBI's taxonomy places the organism in Eukaryota, Metazoa, Chordata, Mammalia, Dasyuromorphia, Dasyuridae. The record is from RefSeq and is a predicted model, not a curated record. The transcript is spliced from 5 exons.